UUCGGGACGCCGGCGAGUGGUGAACGGGUGAGUAACACGUGGAGACCUGCCCUGGGGUGGGGGAUAACAGCUAGAAAUGGCUGCUAAUACCGCAUACGCCUUACGAGGGAAAGAUUUAUUGCCCCAGGAGGGUUCCGCGUCGGAUUAGCUUGUUGGUGGGGUAACGGCCUACCAAGGCGACGAUCCGUAGCUGGUCUUAGAGGAUGAUCAGCCACACUGGGACUGAGACACGGCCCAGACUCCUACGGGAGGCAGCAGUGGGGAAUAUUGCGCAAUGGGGGAAACCCUGACGCAGCGAUGCCGCGUGGGUGAAUAAGGCCUUAGGGUUGUAAGGCCCUUUCAGUGGGAACGAUGAUGACGGUACCCACAGAAGAAGCCCCGGCUAACUCCGUGCCAGCAGCCGCGGUAAUACGGAGGGGGCGAGCGUUGUUCGGAAUUAUUGGGCGUAAAGAGCGCGUAGGCGGCUUGUUAAG
RNAcentral lists this ribosomal RNA (473 nucleotides) under uncultured Magnetococcus sp. RNAcentral describes it as "bacterial SSU rRNA". It matches the Rfam family "Bacterial small subunit ribosomal RNA", at positions 79 to 587 of the family's 1533-position model. The record is from RNAcentral. Lineage: Bacteria; Pseudomonadati; Pseudomonadota; Magnetococcia; Magnetococcales; Magnetococcaceae.